AGCAGCCGCGGUAAUUCCAGCUCCAAUAGCGUAUAUUAAAGUUGUUGCAGUUAAAAAAGCUCGUAGUUGAAUUUCGGGAUCAAUUAAUUGGUCGUGCCUCUGGUACGUACUGAUUUUAUUGGUUUCUCCCUUCUGACGAACCAUGAUGUCAUUAAUUUGGUGUCGUGGAGAAUCAGGACUGUUACUUUGAAAAAAUUAGAGUGUUUAAAGCAAGCUAACGCUUGAAUACAUUAGCAUGGAAUAAUGAAAUAGGACGUUUGAUCCUAUUUUGUUGGUUUCUAGGAUCGACGUAAUGAUUAAUAGGGAUAGUUGGGGGCAUUAGUAUUCAAUUGUCAGAGGUGAAAUUCUUGGAUUUAUUGAAGACUAACUACUGCGAAAGCAUUUGCCAAGGAUGUUUUCAUUAAUCAAGAACGAAAGUUAGGGGAUCGAAGACGAUCAGAUACCGUCGUA
RNAcentral lists this ribosomal RNA (450 nucleotides) under uncultured Glomeromycotina. Its description in RNAcentral is "SSU rRNA". It matches the Rfam family "Eukaryotic small subunit ribosomal RNA", at positions 569 to 1022 of the family's 1831-position model. The record is from RNAcentral. Lineage: Eukaryota; Fungi; Glomeromycota.